This 2866-nucleotide long non-coding RNA is filed under the name Manihot esculenta (cassava). Its description in RNAcentral is "long non-coding RNA (MESC_LNC003816)". The record is from RNAcentral. Lineage: Eukaryota; Viridiplantae; Streptophyta; Magnoliopsida; Malpighiales; Euphorbiaceae.
CCUUCGGCGGCUGAAACCCCGCUCCAGAGCCGAAAGUCCGAACGUUCGGGGGCAAGCUUAGACAAGCUUAGGCAGCCGAAACCACCUCCUUAGCAUGUUCGGCGGCCGAACCCUCUUUCGGCGGUCGAAACUGGAUUUCCCAGUUAGGCAGAAACUUGUUCUGCUUCAUGUAAAACUCACCCAAACUUCACUCAACAUGCAACCCAAAACUCCACAACCUGCAUAUACUCAAGUAUAGGCACAAAGGGGUCCAAAACUAACUUAAAACCCCAACAAACAACACAACAUAACACAACUACAUGCUUUGACCAAAACUCAACUAGAAACCUCAACUUAACCUAAACAUGCAUAUCUACCCAAACAACUCCAUAAAACCUUCAUAAAACACAAGAGAAGCUAAGGAUCCACACUUACCUCUGAAAGAUCUUGAGGAUAGGUGAUCCUAAUGUGGAGAUAUGGAGAAUCAAGCUCUCAAAGUCUCCAAACUUCAAAACUUUGGUCUUUUGCUCAAAACCUUCAAACAAUCAUCAAAAUUGGUUCUGGUUCUGGUGGUGGCGGAGGUGCUGCUGUAUCUCUUGGUUCAGGGUGUGCUGAACUGGGAUGGAAAGGUGUAGGUGGAUACAUGGGAUAUGGUGGAUAAAAAGGAGGAUAAGGCAUAUAAGGCAUAUAGGUAGGAUAUGGGGUAAAACUGGAGUGAUCCGACGUACUCCCCAUCGGAUACCCUGGGCCCUGAGGAAAAGGUGGAUAAUGGGGUGGAUAACCAAACCCCGAGGCCUGAGCGCCUCCCUGGGAUUCUCCCAUACCCUCUUCCGACCUGCCCAUUCCCAUGCUUUCAUCUCUUGCCUGAUCAACAUCCAUAGCCUCCCUCACUUCAUCUGAGCUCCCUCCUCUUUCAACUCCCCUUCUGCUCUCGUCAAAAGACCUUCUAGGGUCCCUUGACGUACCCUCCCUGCUUGAUCUUUGCGACCUCGCCCUUAGCAACGCAGGAGGACGAGCAGCUGCACCCUCACUUUCUGGUGGGACUCUAGUCAAUCGUGCAGAUCGACGAGUUCCUCGCAUCUUAACUCUGAGAACACAACACAUACCAUGGCACAUCAGCAUAUAAAUAUCACAUAUCAACAAUGCACAUACAGAACCAUGGCAUUUCACAUCAUCAAAUAGACAGGACUCCACAUCCUAUCCUAGUGGACAUGAUUUCCUAUUGUGCUUGACCAACUAUAACCUCUAUGAGCCCGACACUCUCUCUAUAGGUCCGACCAUAGGAACCUAGGGCUCUGAUACCAAUCUGUAACGAUCCAAAAACCGGACCGCUACCGGCGCUAGGAUCCAGAUCGGCUUAAGGCCGCCGGGACCCGUAGCAAGCCUGCUAUAUUCUCUGUGUACCUGUAAAAUCUCAUACAUGAUCAGACAAACUCUGACAAACUGAAAUAAAUUCUGCUCUAUACCAAGGUUCAACCUGUGCAUGCACUAUCUCACAAAAAUCUGUGCACAGACCCCCCCUUUCUAGAGCCCUCAUCAAUGCUCUAGUUAGGUCCACACAAUACAUGUUAAACCUGGUUUUCAGUGUCAUCAACACAAUAUGUACAUAAACAGAUCAUGUAUACAAAAGAGAUUUACAAUACAAAUGGAUCAAGCACAAUUCUAACUCUAGACAAAGCUAUUACAUCUCUUUACAAUAUUACAUGUCCACACUAUACUAUUACACAACUCUUUACUUUUUCUGAACCCUGUUGAACUUCCCCUAUACUCUGGACCUGCAACACUGGGGUUAAGGGAGAGGGAUGAGCUAUACGAGCCCAGUGAGUAGAACAGUAAAACCAGUUAAUAAACAUGCUCACAUGAAAUGCAUCACAUCACAGAUAAAUCAUAUCAAGAAUGGUAUUGUCACCAAUAGCCCUCCAUAGGUCCAACUGUGCCAGGGGCGUAGAAUGGGCCUCGACCUAGACUUCCAUACCAUAUCAUAGCAUAUCAUAUCAUAUGAGGACUAAAGGAUCAUCCAAUAUCCAUUCACAUCAACAUCAUAAUAUGCAAUGCGACAUAUUCGUGAAAUCUAGUGCAAACAACCUAUUGCAUAGCAUGGUGCGUGAAAGAUGCUAAAAGCAUUUGAUUUCUCAAUUUAAAAGAUUAAAUUUAGUUCCACUCACCUCUGGCUGACUCUGAACUGACUCUGAAGCAGUGCUCACUGCAGAUCUCUUUGGUUCCUCUGGUCUAUGCCUACACAGAUGGACUCAAAUGAGGGACCAAACUAGCUCAAGAACAACUCUAUAAAACUCCUCAAAACCCCCUUAAAAGAUCCUAAAACAAUCACAUAAAGCAUGCAAAAGAAGGCUGGACAGGGCACUUUCGGCGGCAGGUUCGGCGGCCGAAAGUCCCUUCCAAAGAUGAAACUCAAGCACCUUCGGCGGCCAAACUUCACUUUCGGCAGCCGAACCCUUUCGGGGGCAAGGUUCGAGGGCUGAAAGACACUCCAGAGACGAAAGUCUCUAACCUUCGGCGGCACCUUCGGCGGCCGAAACCCCACUCCAGAGCCGAAAGUCCGAACGUUCGGGGGCAAGCUUAGACAAGCUUAGGCAGCCGAAACCACCUCCUUAGCAUGUUCGGCGGCCGAACCCUCUUUCGGCGGCCGAACCCUCUUUCGGCGGCCAAAACUGGAUUUCCCAGUUAGGCAGAAACUUGUUCUGCUUCAUGCAAAACUCACCCAAACUUCACUCAACAUGCAACCCAAAACUCCACAACCUGCAUAUACUCAAGUAUAGGCACAAAGGGGUCCAAAACUAACUUAAAACCCCAACAAACAACACAACACAACACAAAUACAUGCUUUGACCAAAACUCAACCAAAAACCUCAACUUAACCUAAACAUGC